Molecule: unclassified non-coding RNA, 762 nt
Filed under: Bombus terrestris (buff-tailed bumblebee)
Lineage: Eukaryota; Metazoa; Arthropoda; Insecta; Hymenoptera; Apidae
Description: misc RNA ENSBTSG00005021142.1
Source: RNAcentral
CGCUUUUUAAAAAUGCUCUAUCUCCUUUUAUUUUAAAGGCUACUGAAACGAAACUUUGAAGACACGUAAUUUAUUUCGAGACUACAUAGACGUGUCUCGAAACUAAAAAAACGGGAAUUUAAAAGAGACAGAAAUAAAUGGAGGAGACGAUGACUCUGAACGAUUGAGUCAGUUUUAAAUUCCACCAUGAAUAAUCGGUCACGCAGCGUAUGCAUCAAAUGCUGGGAGCAUUUAACUUCGUCUGCAUUUCAGUGGAACAGGGAAUUUCUCCGAAUACAAGAGACAUUGACCUUGCGUUUACAGUCAUCGUGGAUCUGGGCUGCGCUCGAGCAUGCUUUCUCCACAAGAAUUUCAUGUCCGCCGACGAUACUGACUGGUAGACAACAUUGAGAGUACAAGCUGACGUCACGUGCAGCGUUGCGCGUAGCGUUACGUAAAAAAACGUGGCUGACGAAUCAGAAACGCAUCGUUCUAUUACUGUUAAGGCCGUGUGAUGAAUCGGCUACGCGGUAAAGUAUAUAAUGGACUUAGCGUGGGUUCAUUACGAUGAAAAAUAACUGGCAUUGGGAGUUAUUUUACAACUGUAAUCCGAUACAAAGAUAAUGUAUCCUCAGAGAUAUGCUUCGAGUGUGAAAUAAUUGUAACGAAACGAGUCGAGUCGUAGUAAUUUACGAAAUACUUCGCUUCCUUUUUCGAAUAUAUUCCCGAGCAAAAUACACAGGCUCACAAAAGUGUUCAAACACUUAUGGAUACCUUUUGUGA